AAGUCGUAACAAGGUUUCCGUAGGUGAACCUGCGGAAGGAUCAUUAACACGUAUCCAAACGUUAAACCCCCCUGUGAACCUUCAAUGUACUCGUACGUCCGUUAGAAAAAGCAGCAAUCCCUGGUAAAUCAUCGCCGAACAGUUUUCGAUUCAGGGACGUCUGCAAGUGGCAUCCCCAAGCAGUUAGUGUCUGAAAGUGUCAUUAACUGUGUGAGGAUGACGCAGUCACGAUCGUUGGAGGCCCACACGGCCGACGACCGGGUCACCGGGCGCAAGCCCCCCUAAAACAAACGCUGGCAGUCGACCAAAAACCGAACAACUGUUAACAAUGGAUAUCUUGGUUCUC
This 346-nucleotide unclassified non-coding RNA is filed under the name fungal sp. RNAcentral's name for it is "partial internal transcribed spacer region". The stretch from base 1 to 46 matches the Rfam family "Eukaryotic small subunit ribosomal RNA", at positions 1786 to 1831 of the family's 1831-position model. Lineage: Eukaryota; Fungi. The record is from RNAcentral.